AUAUCAGCUGCUAUAAUUUUCUCUUUCGUUUGAUUCACAUCUUCAGACAUCUGCAAAGCUGCCAGUUCUGGCCCUCUAGACUCUGUGAGGAAGCCACUAAGGCCACUGUCCCUUCAGGAGACACAAACACAUGGAUGGCAUCAUGCUGCAGGAGACUUUCAGAGCUUAGUCUAUGGAGAAAAUGCUGAAUGGUGCAAGGCUGCAUCUUUUUUCCUCCUGAACCUGUUUCAUAUGAAUCGAUUCUAGGAUCACCAGUCUGUCCCCACAGUCAUCCUGCCAUCUGCUAGGCUUGGUAGCUGUUGCCGGAACACUUAGGAUCCUUCCCUAAGAUGUCUAGAGUGUCGUCACAACAGAUGUUUAACCAUCAAAUUCCACACAUGUUGCCUAGGGCAGGCACAGAUGGGGAUAACAAAAGAUCAUGGCAUUAAUGAGGUAGAAAAGCCAUUUCUGAAUUGCGAGGGCUCUAGUCUCAGGAUGGCCUCCUAACACAGCAGCACUCCCAAGAAAGAAGUGCCUACUACAUUUCAAACCCUUCAACUUUAAUCUCGUCGACAAUUUUCAUGUUUUCUCCUUAAAAAGCAUUAUGAGCAUACACCUCCCAAAUGACAGUACCAAAACCUAGUCAGCUACAGAAAGCUUGGCCAUUGAUAAGAUAUAUUUCCCCUUCAAGAA
Molecule: long non-coding RNA, 672 nt
Filed under: Homo sapiens (human)
Lineage: Eukaryota; Metazoa; Chordata; Mammalia; Primates; Hominidae
Description: HSALNT0109826
Source: RNAcentral